UGAGACGCUGGCAGCGUGCUUAACACAUGCAAGUCGAACGAUGAAGCAUUCUUCGGAAUGUGGAAGAGUGGCGAACGGGUGAGGAACACGUAAGAAUCUGCCCCUCGGUCGGGGACAACUCUUGGAAACGAGAGCUAAUACCCGAUACGCUGUGGAGUGAAAGAAUUUCGCCGAGGGAUGAUCUUGCGUCUGAUUAGCUAGUUGGUGUGGUAAUGGCACACCAAGGCGACGAUCAGUAGCUGGUCUGAGAGGAUGAACAGCCACAUUGGAACUGAGACACC
This 281-nucleotide ribosomal RNA is filed under the name uncultured prasinophyte. RNAcentral describes it as "partial 16S ribosomal RNA". It matches the Rfam family "Bacterial small subunit ribosomal RNA", at positions 32 to 328 of the family's 1533-position model. The record is from RNAcentral. Lineage: Eukaryota; Viridiplantae; Chlorophyta.